CUACGGGUCGCUCCAGUGGGGAAUAUUGGACAAUGGGGGAAACCCUGAUCCAGCAAUGCCGCGUGUGUGAAGAAGGCCUGCGGGUUGUAAAGCACUUUCGGUUGGGAGGACUGCUUCUAGCACUAAUAUUGUUGGAAGUUGACGUUACCUUCAGAAGAAGCACCGGCUAACUCCGUGCCAGCAGCCGCGGGUAAUACGGAGGGUGCAAGCGUUAAUCGGAAUUACUGGGCGUAAAGCGCGCGUAGGCGGCUAGAUCAGUCGGGUGUGAAAGCCCCGGGCUUAACCUGGGAACUGCAUCCGAUACUGUCUAGCUUGAGUACAGGAGAGGAGAGUGGAAUUCCACAUGUAGCGGUGAAAUGCGUAGAUAUGUGGAGGAACACCAGUGGCGAAGGCAGCUCUCUGGCCUGAUACUGACGCUGAGGUGCGAAAGCGUGGGGAGCAAACAGGAUUAGAUACCCCUGUAGUC
RNAcentral lists this ribosomal RNA (466 nucleotides) under uncultured bacterium. RNAcentral's name for it is "partial 16S ribosomal RNA". It matches the Rfam family "Bacterial small subunit ribosomal RNA", at positions 339 to 795 of the family's 1533-position model. The record is from RNAcentral.